This 524-nucleotide ribosomal RNA is filed under the name uncultured bacterium. Its description in RNAcentral is "bacterial SSU rRNA". It matches the Rfam family "Bacterial small subunit ribosomal RNA", at positions 777 to 1308 of the family's 1533-position model. The record is from RNAcentral.
AAUAGAUACCCUGGUAGUCCACGCCGUAAACGAUGGAUACUAGCUGUUUGAGCGCAAGUUUGAGUGGCUAAGCGAAAGUGAUAAGUAUCCCACCUGGGGGUACGGGCGCAAGCCUGAAACUCAAAGGAAUUGACGGGGGCCCGCACAAGCGGUGGAGCAUGUGGUUUAAUUCGAUGAUACGCGAGGAACCUUACCAGGGCUUAAAUGUAGAUUGACGUAUUUGGAAACAGAUAUUUCUUCGGACAAUUUACAAGGUGCUGCAUGGUUGUCGUCAGCUCGUGCCGUGAGGUGUCAGGUUAAGUCCUAUAACGAGCGCAACCCCUGUUGUUAGUUGCCAGCGAGUAAUGUCGGGAACUCUAGCAAGACUGCCGGUGUAAACUGUGAGGAAGGUGGGGAUGACGUCAAAUCAUCACGGCCCUUACGUCCUGGGCCACACACGUGCUACAAUGGCCGGUACAGAGAGCAGCCACUUAGCGAUAAGGAGCGAAUCUAUAAAGCCGGUCACAGUUCGGAUCGGAGUCUGC